UAGAUUAUCGUGAUCCGGAUUAUACUCGGAAAGGAAAGGCUCAAGUCAAGUAACUUUUGGAGUUCGUUUUAAGGCAAGUGGCUUCCAAACUUUGUAAAACUCUUAGACUACGCAUGACUACUUUCCUAAUUGUGUUGGGGAGUAAUGGGGAUUGAGGAUGGGUUUUAUUUGUUGAUUGAAAUUGUUGUAAAUGAAAGAUGGGGAAUAAAACGAGCUAAAUGUGUUAUAUGUGACUUGAAUUUGUUGAAUAAGUCAUGUGAUAACUGAUAUUGAGGGGAUAGAAGAGCAUGAGUAGGCUAUGAUUGAUACAAACAUUCAUGUUGAGACAAAUGAUGUGUAAUACUAUGAUGUGGUCGUGAUAUGGUUGUGAUUGAGAUAGGUGAUGUGUAAUACUAUGAUGUGGUUGUGAUAUGGUUGUGAUUGAGACAGAUGAUGUGUAAUAUUAUGAUGUGAUCGUGAUAUGAUUGUGAUUGAUGACAUGUGCAUAUUCAUUAUUCAUCCCAUGUGUGAACUAUCUGUUGCAUGAGUUCUGAGACACUGAUAUGAGGAUGGAUGGAUAUGAGACACAGUUGAGACUAGCUCCGGCUAGAGAUAUAUGAGAUGGACUAGCUCCGGCUAGCGAUUU
RNAcentral lists this long non-coding RNA (625 nucleotides) under Solanum tuberosum (potato). Its description in RNAcentral is "long non-coding RNA (STUB_LNC009708)". The record is from RNAcentral. Lineage: Eukaryota; Viridiplantae; Streptophyta; Magnoliopsida; Solanales; Solanaceae.